UUAGAGUUUGAUCCUGGCUCAGGAUGAACGCUAGCUACAGGCUUAACACAUGCAAGUCGAGGGGCAUCGCGGCGUGGCAACACGCUGGCGGCGACCGGCGGAAGGGUGCGUAACACGUGAGCAACAUGCCCGUAUCUGGGACAUAACCGAUGGAAACGUCGACUAAUUUCCCAUAACAACAGAAGUGACAUCGUUUUUGUUUGAAAGCUUCGGCGGAUACGGAUUGGCCCGCGCCCCAUUAGCUAGUUGGAGUGGUAACGGCACACCAAGGCGACGAUGGGUAGGGGCUCUGAGAGGAAGGUCCCCCACAUUGGAACUGAGACACGGUCCAAACUCCUACGGGAGGCAGCAGUGAGGAAUAUUGGUCAAUGGACGGAAGUCUGAACCAGCCAUGCCGCGUGCAGGAAUAAGGCCCUAUGGGUUGUAAACUGCUUUUAACCGGGAAUAACGUCACGGACGUGUCCGUGAGUGCAUGUACCGGUUGAAUAAGGAUCGGCUAACUCCGUGCCAGCAGCCGCGGUAAUACGGAGGAUCCGAGCGUUAUCCGGAUUUAUUGGGUUUAAAGGGAGCGUAGGCGGAGGAUCAAGUCAGCUGUGAAAUGUAGUCGCUCAACGUCUGCACUGCAGUUGAAACUGGUCCCCUUGAGUGCGUAAGAGGCAGGCGGAAUUCGUCGUGUAGCGGUGAAAUGCUUAGAUAUGACGAAGAACUCCUAUUGCGAAGGCAGCUUGCUGGGCCGCAACUGACGCUGAAGCUCGAAGGUGCGGGUAUCGAACAGGAUUAGAUACCCUGGUAGUCCGCACAGUAAACGAUGGAUACUCGCUGUCGGCGAUACACAGUCGGUGGCCAAGCGAAAGCGUUAAGUAUCCCACCUGGGGAGUACGCCGGCAACGGUGAAACUCAAAGGAAUUGACGGGGGCCCGCACAAGCGGAGGAACAUGUGGUUUAAUUCGAUGAUACGCGAGGAACCUUACCCGGGCUUGAAUUGCUGGAGACGGUUGGUGGAGACACCUUCCUUCCUUCGGGACUCCAGUGAAGGUGCUGCAUGGUUGUCGUCAGCUCGUGCCGUAAGGUGUCGGCUUAAGUGCCAUAACGAGCGCAACCCUUGCCGUUAGUUGCCAUCAGGUCAAGCUGGGCACUCUAGCGGGACUGCCAUCGUAAGAUGUGAGGAAGGUGGGGAUGACGUCAAAUCAGCACGGCCCUUAUGUCCGGGGCGACACACGUGUUACAAUGGGGGGUACAGAGGGAAGCCACCUGGCGACAGGGCGCGGAUCCCGAAAUCCCUUCUCAGUUCGGAUCGGAGUCUGGAACUCGACUCCGUGAAGCUGGAUUCGCUAGUAAUCGCGCAUCAGCCAUGGCGCGGUGAAUACGUUCCCGGGCCUUGCACUCACCGCCCGUCAAG
This 1399-nucleotide ribosomal RNA is filed under the name uncultured bacterium. Its description in RNAcentral is "bacterial SSU rRNA". It matches the Rfam family "Bacterial small subunit ribosomal RNA". The record is from RNAcentral.